CAUCAAUAAAAACAUCACUUGUUUUUGUUGCUUCUCCAAUUCCAGUUAAUUUCUUAGCUCUUAGUGCUUCACAAUCCCAAUCUGUUUGACUCAAAACAACCAACAUAGUCACAGCACAAGUUCCCUGAGCCACAAGCAACCCAAUCCACAAACCUUGAAAAUCAAACCCAACAUAAAAAGCUAACCAAAUUGCCACUGGCAUUCCAACAAUGUAAAAACAACCAAAAUUGAUAUUUGCACCUACUUUAGGCCUUGCUGUUCCUCUUAACACCCCACAACCUGUUGUUUGUGGACAAUUUCCAAGUUCACAUAGCCCUAUUAAAGGUAACACUAAAGAUGUAAUUUUUAUUAUCUCUUUGUCUUCAGUGAACAUGCUAGCCCAAAUGUUUCUAACCAUUACAGCAAAAACCAAAGCAAACACACCUAAAAUGAAGCUACAAGUGAGUCCUACAAUUGCUGAAAGUUUUGCUUUUGAUGGCUUUUGAGCACCAAGUUUGUUACCAACUCUAGUGGAAACACUAAAACUUAUUGAUGAUGGAAAAAUAUAUAGCAAAGAAGUAGUUUGAAUCAAAAUUCCCAUAGAAGCAACGGUUGCUCUUGGAUUUAUCAACAAACCACAUAACAAAAUCAUGAUUUCAUACCACCACCAUUCAAGGCAAACAGAAAGACAACUUGGUACAGCUAAAUUAAGAAGUGAUUUCCAUUGUUUGAAACAUUGUGAUGAAAAACCACCCCAUGUUUUCUUGUGCGUGCCAGAGAAAACUAUGUAAAGUAUCAAAGAUGCAACAAGGUUGAAAUUUGUCCACACCCCACUUAAAGCUACACCUUUGAUUCCCAUAUUGAGGUGAGAAACAAGAAAAUAGUUUAUGGGAAUGUGAAGAAAAAUUGCUAAAGUAGCACAAAGUGUGAGAGGCAGAGUAAUGGAUUGGCUUCUAAGGUAAAUUCUUAAAGGGUGUAAAAACGAUUGUGCUAAGAGAUCAGGAAUGGAAUAUAGAAGAUAGAUUUGAGCUUGUGUAGCUAUAUCUUCUUCUUGGCCACAUAAAAGAAGGAUAUGUUUUGUGUAAAGCCAAAGUAAUGAAAUAGGGAUAGAAGUUAAGAGUAGCAAGAGAAUGGUUUUUUGUAAACAUAGACCAAGGAGAGUGAAUCUUUUUGCACCAAAAGCUUGUCCACAAAUAGGUUCCAUUCCAACGGCGAGACCGGAGAGGAUUGAGUAACCGGUAAUGUUCGCAAAGCCGACCGCGAGUGAACCGCCGGCUAAGGCAAGUUCGCCGAGGUGACCAAGAAAGAGCAUGGAGAUCAUUGAACGACAAUAGAGUAAAAGACCGGUGAAAAUCAUGGGAAAAGCAAUUUUGGAUAUAGAAAUAACUUCUUUGAAGGUAGCUCUAAGAUGGGUUUUUUGGAAUUGUGUUGUUGGAUUUUCUAUGUUUAUGUCUUUUUGGAUAAGUGGAUUGGUCAUCAUGUUGUUGUUGUUGUUGGACUCUUUUGUGUCUUUGAUUGAAACUACUAGAUAUUCAGAUUUUGAAUUGCAUUUGGAAGGAGGUUGAGAAGUUAAAUGACACAUAGUUUGUCUAUUUUGAAAAUAGAAAGAGAAGGAGAGUCAAGGAGAAUAUAGUAGAGAGGGAGGGUUGUACAAAUGGUUUUGUGUUGCAUUUUAUAGCAUUUGAAUGAGUACAAUUGCCCUUACGAACUUUUGGAGGGCUAAAACAUUUAACAUCGACCGGCCUAAAUCGUAUCAUAUAUGUCUUUUUUGUAUUAACUUUAAAUUAUUAUAGUUUAAUUAUUAAUAUUUUUCAAUAAAGUGUUAUUUUUCGUUGAUG
Molecule: long non-coding RNA, 1817 nt
Filed under: Medicago truncatula (barrel medic)
Lineage: Eukaryota; Viridiplantae; Streptophyta; Magnoliopsida; Fabales; Fabaceae
Description: lncRNA gene5968
Source: RNAcentral